RNAcentral lists this transfer RNA (71 nucleotides) under Myriopathes japonica. RNAcentral describes it as "tRNA-Met". It matches the Rfam family "tRNA". Rfam says of the family: Transfer RNA (tRNA) molecules are approximately 80 nucleotides in length. Their secondary structure includes four short double-helical elements and three loops (D, anti-codon, and T loops). The record is from RNAcentral. RNAcentral also lists the same sequence under 1 other name. Lineage: Eukaryota; Metazoa; Cnidaria; Anthozoa; Antipatharia; Antipathidae.
AGUAGGGUAGACUAACGGGAAGUCAUCAGGCUCAUAACCUGGGGAUGUAGGUUCGACUCCUGCCUCUACAA